GCCUGCAUGAAGCCGGAAUUGCUAGUAAUGGCAGGUCAGCAUACUGCCGUGAAUACGUUCCCGGGCCUUGUACACACCGCCCGUCACACCAUGAGAGUUGGGGAUACCCAAAGCCCGUGAGCCAACAUUUAAUGAGGCAGCGGUCUAAGGUAGAAUCAAUGAUUGGGGUGAAGUCGUAACAAGGUACC
RNAcentral lists this ribosomal RNA (188 nucleotides) under uncultured bacterium. Its description in RNAcentral is "partial 16S ribosomal RNA". It matches the Rfam family "Bacterial small subunit ribosomal RNA", at positions 1314 to 1500 of the family's 1533-position model. The record is from RNAcentral.